CAAUCUUUUCGAAUUGAUCACUUCCCACUGGGCACAUACAUCAAUUCAAUGUUUAUUCCACAUUGGUUUAACGUAAUUUAAUUGGAAUUACAUGGAUAUUCUGUCACAGUGAAUUUUGUAAUCUGCAGUCAAUUUAAUUAUGUUUUCAUGUGCCAUGAUUCUGACAUUUCCCAUAUGGUCCUCAUAGGAUUAGGCUACAUAAUUACAGUGGUGCAGUAAAUGUAAUCUCAAUUCAAUACGAUGUGCAUAUACUGUACAUAUAGCCAUUAUAGCUAUUAAACCCAUGUUCAGUGACUGUAAUCUGUGACGCAAGUGGCCUAAUAUGUUUGUGACGUUCCAUGGAACCCACAGUGUUGUUUAAAACUAGAUUCUGAUUGGCUUGCAGGUCAUUGUACAGUGUACAUUAUAAAUGAAAACGUGCUUUUAUAUCAGUGUUACAGAUUCACAUUACCGAGCAUGUCUCAACCCGUACCGCGCUUUUAUCUGCCUAAAGGUAUCUUCACGCACGACUGGACAGGCCUUUUGGAUACGCUUGUCCAAGUGAGCAAGACCUGCCAGCAGAGCUCACUGGAGCAGGGAGACAUGCCGUCAUCCUUUUGGCGCCUGACAAAAUGUCCGACUUA
This 623-nucleotide long non-coding RNA is filed under the name Oncorhynchus kisutch (coho salmon). RNAcentral's name for it is "lncRNA (ENSOKIG00005025263.1)". The record is from RNAcentral. Lineage: Eukaryota; Metazoa; Chordata; Actinopteri; Salmoniformes; Salmonidae.